RNAcentral lists this ribosomal RNA (460 nucleotides) under uncultured bacterium. RNAcentral describes it as "partial 16S ribosomal RNA". It matches the Rfam family "Bacterial small subunit ribosomal RNA", at positions 338 to 795 of the family's 1533-position model. The record is from RNAcentral.
CCUACGGGUGGCAGCAGUGAGGAAUAUUGGUCAAUGGGCGCGAGCCUGAACCAGCCAAGUAGCGUGAAGGAUGACUGCCCUACGGGUUGUAAACUUCUUUUAUAAAGGAAUAAAGUGAGGCACGUGUGCCUUAUUGGAUGUACUUUAUGAAUAAGCAUCGGCUAACUCCGUGCCAGCAGCCGCGGUAAAACGGAGGAUCCGAGCGUUAACCGGAUUUAUUUGGUUUAAAGGGGGCGUAGAUGGGUUGUUAAGUCAGUUGUGAAUGUUUGCGGCUCAACCGUAAAAUUGCAAUUGAAACUGGCAGCCUUGAGUACAGUUGAGGUAGGCGGAAUUCGUGGUGUAGCGGUGAAAUGCUUAGAUAUCACGAAGAACUCCGAUUGCGAAGGCAGCUUACUAAACUGCCACUGACAUUGAUGCUCGAAAGUGUGGGUAUCAAACAGGAUUAGAUACCCCUGUAGUC